This 447-nucleotide ribosomal RNA is filed under the name uncultured bacterium. Its description in RNAcentral is "bacterial SSU rRNA". It matches the Rfam family "Bacterial small subunit ribosomal RNA", at positions 8 to 486 of the family's 1533-position model. The record is from RNAcentral.
AGAGUUUGAUCAUGGCUCAGAGUGAACGCUGGCGGCGUGCUUAACACAUGCAAGUCGAACGAUGAAGCAACUGCUUGCAGUUGUGGAUUAGUGGCGCACGGGUGAGUAAUGGAUAGGUAACCUGCCUCAUAGUCUGGGACAACAGUUGGAAACGACUGCUAAUACUGGAUAUUCCCUACGGGGGAAAGAUUUAUCGCUAUGAGAUGGGCCUAUCUCCUAUCGGCUAGUUGGUAAGGUAACGGCUUACCAAGGCAAUGACGGGUAGCUGGUCUUAGAGGACGAUCAGCCACACUGGAACUGAGACACGGUCCAGACUCCUACGGGAGGCAGCAGUGGGGAAUAUUGCACAAUGGGGGAAACCCUGAUGCAGCAACGCCGCGUGGAGGAUGACGCAUUUCGGUGUGUAAACUCCUUUUAUCAAGGAAGAAAUUGACGGUACUUGAGAAU